RNAcentral lists this ribosomal RNA (669 nucleotides) under uncultured bacterium. RNAcentral describes it as "bacterial SSU rRNA". It matches the Rfam family "Bacterial small subunit ribosomal RNA", at positions 724 to 1397 of the family's 1533-position model. The record is from RNAcentral.
ACGGGCGGUGUGUGCAACUGACGCUGAGGCUCGAAAGUGUGGGUAUCAAACAGGAUUAGAUACCCUGGUAGUCCACACAGUAAACGAUGAAUACUCGCGGUUGGUUCGUUAGAGUCAGCCGCCAAGCGAAAGCGUUAAGUAUUCCACCUGGGGAGUACGCCGGCAACGGUGAAACUCAAAGGAAUUGACGGGGGCCCGCACAAGCGGAGGAACAUGUGGUUUAAUUCGAUGAUACGCGAGGAACCUUACCCGGGCUUGAACUGCCAGUGACUCAUGCAGAGACGCAUGUUUCUUCGGACACUGGCGGAGGUGCUGCAUGGUUGUCGUCAGCUCGUGCCGUGAGGUGUCGGCUUAAGUGCCAUAACGAGCGCAACCCUUCUCCCUGUUUGCCAUCGGGUUAAGCCGGGCACUCCAGGGACACUGCCAUCGUAAGAUGUGAGGAAGGUGGGGAUGACGCCAAAUCAGCACGGCCCUUACGUCCGGGGCUACACACGUGUUACAAUGGGCGGUACAGAAAGCAGCUACCCCGCGAGGGGACGCCAAUCUCAAAAACCGUUCUCAGUUCGGACUGGAGUCUGCAACCCGACUCCACGAAGCUGGAUUCGCUAGUAAUCGCGCAUCAGCCAUGGCGCGGUGAAUACGUUCCCGGGCCUUGCACACACCGCCCGU